UUGUAGUUUUCUUUUCUCUUUCUCUCUCUCUCUCUCUCUCUCUCUCUCUCUCUCUCUCUCUGUGUGUGUGUGUGUGUGUGUGUGUGUGUGAGAGAGAGAGAGAGAGAGAGAGAGAGAGAGAGAAACAGAGAUUUAGCUAUG
Molecule: microRNA precursor, 141 nt
Filed under: Marmota monax (woodchuck)
Lineage: Eukaryota; Metazoa; Chordata; Mammalia; Rodentia; Sciuridae
Source: RNAcentral